RNAcentral lists this transfer RNA (73 nucleotides) under Felis catus (domestic cat). It matches the Rfam family "tRNA". From Rfam's summary of the family: Transfer RNA (tRNA) molecules are approximately 80 nucleotides in length. Lineage: Eukaryota; Metazoa; Chordata; Mammalia; Carnivora; Felidae. The record is from Rfam by way of RNAcentral.
ACCUGACUGGCUCAGUUGGUAGAACAUGUGACUCUUGAUCUCAAGGUUGUGAGUUCAAGCCCCACGAUGGGCG